RNAcentral lists this ribosomal RNA (253 nucleotides) under uncultured bacterium. RNAcentral's name for it is "partial 16S ribosomal RNA". It matches the Rfam family "Bacterial small subunit ribosomal RNA", at positions 524 to 776 of the family's 1533-position model. The record is from RNAcentral.
UACGUAGGUGGCAAGCGUUGUCCGGAUUUAUUGGGUUUAAAGGGUGCGUAGGCGGUUCUAUAAGUCAGUGGGGAAAUCCGGCAGCUCAACUGUCGAUGUGCCAUUGAUACUGCAGAACUUGAGUACAGACGAGGUAGGCGGAAUUGACGGUGUAGCGGUGAAAUGCUUAGAUAUCGUCAAGAACACCGAUAGCGAAGGCAGCUUACUAGACUGUAACCGACGCUGAUGCACGAAAGUGUGGGGAUCAAACAGG